Molecule: ribosomal RNA, 756 nt
Filed under: uncultured bacterium
Lineage: Bacteria
Description: bacterial SSU rRNA
Rfam family: Bacterial small subunit ribosomal RNA
Source: RNAcentral
CAGUCGAACGAAGCAUUUAGAACGGAUUACUUCGGUUUGAAGUUCUUUAUCACUGAGUGGCGGACGGGUGAGUAACGCGUGGGUAACCUGCCUUGUACUGGGGGAUAGCAGCUGGAAACGGCUGGUAAUACCGCAUAAGCGCACAAUGUUGCAUGACAUGGUGUGAAAAACUCCGGUGGUAUAAGAUGGACCCGCGUCUGAUUAGCUAGUUGGUGAGAUAACAGCCCACCAAGGCGACGAUCAGUAGCCGACCUGAGAGGGUGACCGGCCACAUUGGGACUGAGACACGGCCCAGACUCCUACGGGAGGCAGCAGUGGGGAAUAUUGCACAAUGGAGGAAACUCUGAUGCAGCGACGCCGCGUGAGUGAAGAAGUAAUUCGUUAUGUAAAGCUCUAUCAGCAGGGAAGAUAGUGACGGUACCUGACUAAGAAGCUCCGGCUAAAUACGUGCCAGCAGCCGCGGUAAUACGUAUGGAGCAAGCGUUAUCCGGAUUUACUGGGUGUAAAGGGAGUGUAGGUGGCCAUGCAAGUCAGAAGUGAAAAUCCGGGGCUCAACCCCGGAACUGCUUUUGAAACUGUAAGGCUAGAGUGCAGGAGGGGUGAGUGGAAUUCCUAGUGUAGCGGUGAAAUGCGUAGAUAUUAGGAGGAACACCAGUGGCGAAGGCGGCUCACUGGACUGUAACUGACACUGAGGCUCGAAAGCGUGGGGAGCAAACAGGAUUAGAUACCCUGGUAGUCCACGCCGUAAACGAUGAA